GUCUAUGGCCAUGCUACCCUGAACAAGCCUAAUCCCAUCUGAUCUUGGAAGCUAAGGAGGGUCGAGCCUGUUCAGUACUUAGAUAGGAGACCACCUAGGAAGACCAGAUGCUGGAGACA
Ribosomal RNA from Pteropus vampyrus (large flying fox), 119 nucleotides. NCBI's taxonomy places the organism in Eukaryota, Metazoa, Chordata, Mammalia, Chiroptera, Pteropodidae. The record is from Ensembl.